CGGGGGCCCGCACAAGCGGUGGAGCAUGUGGUUUAAUUCGACGCAACGCGAAGAACCUUACCUGGCCUUGACAUGCAGAGAGCUUUCCAGAGAUGGAUUGGUGCCUUCGGGAACUCUGACACAGGUGCUGCAUGGCCGUCGUCAGCUCGUGUCGUGAGAUGUUGGGUUAAGUCCCGUAACGAGCGCAACCCCUAUCCCUAGUUGCUUGCAGUUCGGCUGAGAACUCUAGGGAGACUGCCGGUGACAAACCGGAGGAAGGUGGGGAUGACGUCAGGUCAUCAUGGCCCUUACGGCCAGGGCUACACACGUGCUACAAUGGUGCGUACAGAGGGCUGCAAACCCGCGAGGGGGAGCUAAUCUCACAAAACGCGUCGUAGUCCGGAUCGGAGUCUGCAACUCGACUCCGUGAAGUCGGAAUCGCUAGUAAUCGCGAAUCAGAAUGUCGCGGUGAAUACGUUCCCGGGCCUUGUACACACCGCCCGUCACACCAUGGGAGUGGAUUGCACCAGAAGUGGUUAGUCUAACCUUCGGGAGGACGAUCACCACGGUGUGGUUCAUGACUGGGGUGAAGUCGUAACAAGGUAGCCGUAGGGGAACCUGCGGCUGGAUCACCU
RNAcentral lists this ribosomal RNA (614 nucleotides) under uncultured Marinobacter sp. RNAcentral's name for it is "bacterial SSU rRNA". It matches the Rfam family "Bacterial small subunit ribosomal RNA", at positions 914 to 1528 of the family's 1533-position model. Lineage: Bacteria; Pseudomonadati; Pseudomonadota; Gammaproteobacteria; Pseudomonadales; Marinobacteraceae. The record is from RNAcentral.